This 410-nucleotide ribosomal RNA is filed under the name uncultured bacterium. RNAcentral's name for it is "bacterial SSU rRNA". It matches the Rfam family "Bacterial small subunit ribosomal RNA", at positions 355 to 776 of the family's 1533-position model. The record is from RNAcentral.
UGGGGAAUCUUGCACAAUGGGCGGAAGCCUGAUGCAGCGACGCCGCGUGCGGGACGAAGGCCUUCGGGUCGUAAACCGCUUUCAGCAGGGACGAGGCCGCGAGGUGACGGUACCUGCAGAAGAAGCCCCGGCUAACUACGUGCCAGCAGCCGCGGUAAUACGUAGGGGGCGAGCGUUAUCCGGAUUCAUUGGGCGUAAAGCGCGCGUAGGCGGCCCGCUUGGUCGGGAGUAAAAUCCGGGGGCUCAACCCCCGCACGCUCCCGAUACCGGCGGGCUUGAGUCUGGCAGGGGAAGGCGGAAUUCCGAGUGUAGCGGUGGAAUGCGCAGAUAUUCGGAAGAACACCGGUGGCGAAGGCGGCCUUCUGGGCCACGACUGACGCUGAGGCGCGAAAGCUAGGGGAGCGAACAGG